RNAcentral lists this ribosomal RNA (1204 nucleotides) under Vibrio hepatarius. Its description in RNAcentral is "bacterial SSU rRNA". It matches the Rfam family "Bacterial small subunit ribosomal RNA", at positions 245 to 1453 of the family's 1533-position model. Lineage: Bacteria; Pseudomonadati; Pseudomonadota; Gammaproteobacteria; Vibrionales; Vibrionaceae. The record is from RNAcentral.
ACAUUNUGUGGAGUAAGGCUCCCCAAGGCGGAGGAUNCCUUAGCNUGUUNNGNGGGAGUCAGCNNNUGGACUGAGACACGGUCNNGCUCCUNCGGAGGCAGCCAGUGGGGAAUAUGCCCAAUGGGCGCAGCCUGAUGCAGCCAUCCCGCGUGUGUGAAGAAGCUUCCGGGUUGUAAAGCACUUUCAGUCGUGAGGAAAGGUUUUGGGUUAUAGCGUAUAGAUUUGACGUUAGCGACAGAAGAAGCACCGGCUAACUCCGUGCCAGCAGCCGCGGUAAUACGGAGGGUGCGAGCGUUAUUCGGAAUUACUGGGCGUAAAGCGCAUGCAGGUGGUUUGUUAAGUCAGAUGUGAAAGCCCGGGGCUCAACCUCGGAAUAGCAUUUGAAACUGGCAGACUAGAGUACUGUAGAGGGGGGUAGAAUUUCAGGUGUAGCGGUGAAAUGCGUAGAGAUCUGAAGGAAUACCGGUGGCGAAGGCGGCCCCCUGGACAGAUACUGACACUCAGAUGCGAAAGCGUGGGGAGCAAACAGGAUUAGAUACCCUGGUAGUCCACGCCGUAAACGAUGUCUACUUGGAGGUUGUGGCCUUGAGCCGUGGCUUUCGGAGCUAACGCGUUAAGUAGACCGCCUGGGGAGUACGGUCGCAAGAUUAAAACUCAAAUGAAUUGACGGGGGCCCGCACAAGCGGUGGAGCAUGUGGUUUAAUUCGAUGCAACGCGAAGAACCUUACCUACUCUUGACAUCCAGAGAACUUUUCAGAGAUGGAUUGGUGCCUUCGGGAACUCUGAGACAGGUGCUGCAUGGCUGUCGUCAGCUCGUGUUGUGAAAUGUUGGGUUAAGUCCCGCAACGAGCGCAACCCUUAUCCUUGUUUGCCAGCGAGUAAUGUCGGGAACUCCAGGGAGACUGCCGGUGAUAAACCGGAGGAAGGUGGGGACGACGUCAAGUCAUCAUGGCCCUUACGAGUAGGGCUACACACGUGCUACAAUGGCGCAUACAGAGGGCGGCCAACUUGCGAAAGUGAGCGAAUCCCAAAAAGUGCGUCGUAGUCCGGAUUGGAGUCUGCAACUCGACUCCAUGAAGUCGGAAUCGCUAGUAAUCGUGGAUCAGAAUGCCACGGUGAAUACGUUCCCGGGCCUUGUACACACCGCCCGUCACACCAUGGGAGUGGGCUGCAAAAGAAGUAGGUAGUUAACUUCGGGGGACGC